Molecule: ribosomal RNA, 314 nt
Filed under: uncultured fungus
Lineage: Eukaryota; Fungi
Description: SSU rRNA
Rfam family: Eukaryotic small subunit ribosomal RNA
Source: RNAcentral
AAAGAUUAAGCCAUGCAUGUCUAAGUAUAAACAAAUUUGUACUGUGAAACUGCGAAUGGCUCAUUAAAUCAGUUAUAGUUUAUUUGAUGGUGCUUUGCUACAUGGAUAACUGUGGUAAUUCUAGAGCUAAUACAUGCAAUCAAGCCCCGACUUUUGGGAGGGGUGUAUUUAUUAGAUAAAAAACCAACGCGGUUCGCCGCCCCACUGGUGAUUCAUAAUAACUUCUCGAAUCGCAUGGCCUUGUGCCGGCGAUGCUUCAUUCAAAUAUCUGCCCUAUCAACUUUCGAUGGUAGGACAGAGGCCUACCAUGGUUU